RNAcentral lists this small RNA (66 nucleotides) under Bacillus solimangrovi. RNAcentral's name for it is "Bacillaceae-1 RNA". It matches the Rfam family "Bacillaceae-1 RNA". The record is from Rfam by way of RNAcentral. Lineage: Bacteria; Bacillati; Bacillota; Bacilli; Caryophanales; Bacillaceae.
UAUGAAGGAAGCCCACUAAAACCUUUCAUGUCCUGUGGCGAACGUGGGAUCAACACAUCCUGUGAA